UCAAAAGAUAGUUUAAAAAAAACACUGGCCCUGGAUCCCAGCAAUAGAUAUUUUAAUCUUCUUUUGAU
This 68-nucleotide transfer RNA is filed under the name Diploderma vela. RNAcentral describes it as "tRNA-Pro". The record is from RNAcentral. Lineage: Eukaryota; Metazoa; Chordata; Lepidosauria; Squamata; Agamidae.